RNAcentral lists this ribosomal RNA (465 nucleotides) under uncultured Klebsiella sp. Its description in RNAcentral is "bacterial SSU rRNA". It matches the Rfam family "Bacterial small subunit ribosomal RNA", at positions 338 to 795 of the family's 1533-position model. Lineage: Bacteria; Pseudomonadati; Pseudomonadota; Gammaproteobacteria; Enterobacterales; Enterobacteriaceae. The record is from RNAcentral.
CCUACGGGGGGCUGCAGUGGGGAAUAUUGCACAAUGGGCGCAAGCCUGAUGCAGCCAUGCCGCGUGUGUGAAGAAGGCCUUCGGGUUGUAAAGCACUUUCAGCGGGGAGGAAGGCGGUGAGGUUAAUAACCUCAUCGAUUGACGUUACCCGCAGAAGAAGCACCGGCUAACUCCGUGCCAGCAGCCGCGGUAAUACGGAGGGUGCAAGCGUUAAUCGGAAUUACUGGGCGUAAAGCGCACGCAGGCGGUCUGUCAAGUCGGAUGUGAAAUCCCCGGGCUCAACCUGGGAACUGCAUUCGAAACUGGCAGGCUAGAGUCUUGUAGAGGGGAGUAGAAUUCCAGGUGUAGCGGUGAAAUGCGUAGAGAUCUGGAGGAAUACCGGUGGCGAAGGCGGCCCCCUGGACAAAGACUGACGCUCAGGUGCGAAAGCGUGGGGAGCAAACAGGAUUAGAUACCCGUGUAGUC